RNAcentral lists this long non-coding RNA (329 nucleotides) under Pan troglodytes (chimpanzee). RNAcentral's name for it is "long non-coding RNA NONPTRT006906". The record is from RNAcentral. Lineage: Eukaryota; Metazoa; Chordata; Mammalia; Primates; Hominidae.
AGCGAGGUAGGAUUUGGGCUGCAGACCCGGGUGGUCCCAGGACUCCUGGGGCCUGUUGUGGUGGGGUGGGGUGGGGGCACGGCAGAGCUUCCCAAGGAAGUCACGGGACCCCGCCUCAGGAUAUUCAGAAGCUCUAGUCCAGUUCUGGCAGCCUGAACUCUUCCUCCUCCAAGGUGAAAUCCAAGAAUACACUUCCUUCCAAGGACAGCAACUGACCUGCAAAAUGGGCGCCAGUUAGGGUGGCAGGGAGGACGCACGUUACAGUCAUUUAUUCCAAAAUUUGCCAUUUUCGCCAAACUUUCGAUGAUGACCUGGCAUGGUGGGUGGCU